RNAcentral lists this transfer RNA (63 nucleotides) under Mileewa lamellata. Its description in RNAcentral is "tRNA-Tyr". The record is from RNAcentral. Lineage: Eukaryota; Metazoa; Arthropoda; Insecta; Hemiptera; Cicadellidae.
AUCAAGGUGUCUGAAAAAAGUAAUAAAUUGUAAAUUUAUGUAUGAAUUAAAAUUCUCUUGAUA